GACCCAAGUUCUGGCCCAGCAGACUCAGCCCAUCGAAGCCCAAAACCAUUUUCAGGAGCCCAAGGUAUUUUGUUAUAAAUACUCACCUUUCCACUUUAGUUUCUCAGAAACUUCAUCAAAAGGAAAGAGUUAGAGAGAGAAUGAGCUAAGAGGAAGUGUGAUUAUAUUGUAGUCAGAGAUUCGCUAGAGCUCGUCGCCGGAGCAACCGUGUGCCGUGAUCACGUUCAGCUCGCCACCACCGAUAACCGCCCGAGACCACCAUCGUGUUCCUCUCGUAAAGACGAAGCCGUAGCCACCGACCACGUCGCAAUCGGAGUCCGGACGAGCCCUCACGCGCCUACGGAAGAUUGCCCUCCGCGCGCUCGUGAAACGCACGCGCUGCCGUCACCACCGCCAGCUCGCCGGAGCCGCCGUGCCCGGCCACCGUCCGUCCACUGCCAGGAAGCCGCCGCCUCUCCGUCGUCGCCGCCGUUAAUUUUCCGGUCCACCACCCUCCGCCAUCGCCGCCGGUGACUCGCUGGCGACUCGCCAACUCGGCCGAGUCGACCCGGUGAGUCAACUCGGUGACUCGGUCAACCGGUUGGUUUGACUGGUUUAAAUUGAUUUAGGGUUGGUUAGGUUAAACCGCCAGUUAAAAUCAAUUGGAUUUCGGUUAGGAUAAACCGGUUAGAUAUAUUAAUUAAUUAAUCAAUUGAUGGUUAAGGUAAACCGGAUGGUCCAAUUGGAAUUUCGGUUGAGUAAAACCGGUUGGUUUAAAUCAAUUCCAAUCUGGUCAAGGGUUGACCGGCUUGGAUCAGAGUUGAGCGGAUUGACCUUUAACGAGCGUGUUGACUUUUCCGUAAACCUUGACUAAACCCGUUUUAAAUCGUCCGGAAGCCGUUCUGACUCACAAUUUCGUCCUGAUUUCAGAUUUGGAAUCUAUUUGAGCAGCUGGAGUUCAUAGAUACUACUUUUCUCUAUUGCUAAGGUGAGGGUCUAUUCCCGAACUUCUCGUACACGGCUUAGGACCUCGAAUAAGUAUAACUUAUUUCUAAUAUGUUCCGCCUGUUUGAAAUCGAGUCUGUCAUUGCUUGUAUAGUUAUUAGGUUAUUUGCUUAAAUCGAAACUAGGGUGUUAGAAGAUUCAACAUUGAUUGUUUCACUUAAUGUAAAUUCUUAGCUAGACUUGUUUUUGCCGGGUACAGAGACAGACUUCUGUAUGCCGGAUUGUAUGGGGGUUACAGCCAACAUUAGUCGACCGGUUGAGCUGUAGCCUGGUGUGUGUCGAUAAAUCGUCUACGGCCGGUGUCUGAGCACUAUCUCGAGCUGUGUUAUGUUUUUGGCCUGUUAGUGGGCAGCGAGUGCGCGUCUCGCUAGGAUCAUUGCGUGUUGCUUGGGUACUUUAGGUACCGUAUUUGACAUGUAUUAGAAUUAAAUUAUAUUUAUUCGGAGUGCUAUGUCCGGGUCCACGGACUUCGGGGUAGCAUCCCAUACCUCAUUGGGCGAUUCCCCUGUCGCUCACCCCUCACUCUCCCACUUUCAGGUGAGACCGACGAGCAGGAGUGAUUAUCGCUUUUAUCUUUAUCGGGCCUUUAGGCCUUUGGACUUUUAUCGUUUAUGUUAUUUUCUAUUUCAGACGGUUUAUGUCGUAUUUUAUAUUUCAGAUGUUAUCGAUGUUGGGCCUUUAGGCCUUAUGGUAUCAUAUUUACUUUUAUAUUAUGAUAUGAAGAUUAUUAUUAUUUCAGUAUUUAUUAGUAUGUUAUUUUCGCAUUUAUAUUAAUUCGAGGAAGCCGUGUGUUACAAUUUUUGGUAUCAGAGCGGGGUUCCGUCCCGGGUCCGACCCGGGAUGGCAAUUUUUGGAGACUCGGUUUUAUUCGGUUUAAACGUUUUUAGACAAUUUCAAAAUAUUUUCGGGGAUUUGGAAAUUUUGAAAAU
Molecule: long non-coding RNA, 1913 nt
Organism: Brassica rapa (field mustard)
Lineage: Eukaryota; Viridiplantae; Streptophyta; Magnoliopsida; Brassicales; Brassicaceae
Source: RefSeq, a predicted model, not a curated record